This is a long non-coding RNA of Cygnus olor (mute swan), 1705 nucleotides long. RefSeq lists it as uncharacterized. The record is from RefSeq and is a predicted model, not a curated record. Lineage: Eukaryota; Metazoa; Chordata; Aves; Anseriformes; Anatidae. The transcript is spliced from 3 exons.
AGCAGCUGCUGGCAAGGUGAGGAGCCCUGAUCGGAGCAUCCCAAGCCCCUCCACUGGAAGUGGUACGCGUUUACUCUCACGUCUGUCGUCAAAGCUGCAGCACCCUUGGAACUGCUGCUGUCCAUGCUGGCACCUCCUGAAAGAGUUUGUCAACACGUGCCUAAGCGGUUUGCAGCUUGAUUUUUGCGACGUGCCAGUCCCGUGUGCAUCCCCUCCAGAUGUAUGUAUAGGGCGUGGGUUCGCUUCCCCCCCGCCUUGUGGUCCUGCAGCAGCUCCUGAGCAAAGAAAGCCCAGAACCAUGCCAUGGCGCCCAGAGGAAUGCAGAGCUCACCCAUCUUCGCUCCGUUCCCAGCACCAGCACUUAAAAUCGUAUCGUCACUCAAACAGGUGCCUUCCCUCUUUAUUCCGGGAAGUUUAAUGAAAGCACAAAAAGCGGAGCUGAUCUCUCUGGGAGAGAACCGAGUGCCUUCCCCCGGCUCUGGCCGACUUCCGUGCUCGUUGGGGCAAUUUGGACGCCACUUUCUGCUCUGGGAAACCCUCAUGGGUAUGCUGCUGGUGAAUAUUAUAUACGAUGCCGCUGCUGGUGAGAGGAAACCCAUCCUAGAAUGUGGGGGGACCCCCGAGCUCAGCACAACUUGUCCAAAGCCGGGGUUUGCUGGCGGUGGCUACUGACACCUUCCCAACAUGCAGCACCUCCUCCAUUUCCCACCAAAGCCCAGCGAGGUCCCACCAUGCUUACACAGAGGUGCUGAGCCCCAGUCCGGGGGGACGUGGUGUGCGUGCAUGUGAGUUUUAAAGUUUGGUGACAUUUUCAGGAAGAUGCUAUCCGCAGCACUAGUGAAAACCAGCUCUUUUCUCUUUGGAAGGCCCUUACAGCAUGCCAGUGUCUCGUGAUAUUAUUCCACCCACACGUGGUGGAGAGCAUCCAGAAUAUUAGCACUUUGGCUUAAGUUUUCUCAAAGCAAUUAUGCUUAAGACAGAAAACAUCAGCUCAGGUAGUUCUGCCCUGGCAGUGGUAUAGGAAACUGAUGGCAAGGCCAUACAGUGGGGCAAUGUAGGCAGUACCCCCAGUAUCUCUGCAGCAUAUAGAAUUAUUGGCAUUCAGGACUGAGAGCAAAAACUUACACAUUUCUUUAUAUAGGCAUAAUUAUUUUAAAAGUCUGUCAGAAUUAGCUUGAAAUUACAAGUUGCAUAAAAAUAGCACAGUUGCGUGAAAGCAAAAAUAAAAACUUCCUGAAAGCUGGGGUCUUCACGGAGGACCUUAGUUCCCUUAGUCCUGGAGUUAGGCACCCAAUGGGCUGAGCCUGCUUCAAGAAACACAGCCCCAGUCAGGAUUUAAACUUUCUAAAGUUGAAAAGAGGAAUAUUUUCAACCCAUAAAAUGACACUGAACAAGCAGGCAGCACAGGGAAAAUCAUCGUAAUUGUGAAGCAGAGAAUCAACCUUGAAUUAAAGAAUGUGUCACACAUGUAGACAUAAGAGAUGCUUGUAACACCUAGGAGAAAUGUGGCAAAAUGCUAACACCCCCAGAAAAGCCAGACAGCGCAUCUGAUCAGAAGGUUUACAGGCAGACAAAAAGACCAAGCAGAGCAUGAAGGGACAGCAGCGAGAGCCGGUGGGGGUGCCCAUCUCCAGCCUCAGCAGUGCUCGAGGGGCAGGAGGCAGCUGGGCAGAGCCGAGGUGGGCGAGCACCUGAGCUCUCCAUG